GAUGAACGCUAGCGAUAGGCUUAACACAUGCAAGUCGAGGGGCAGCACAAGGUAGCUUGCUAUCUGGGUGGCGACCGGCGCACGGGUGCGUAACGCGUAUGCAACUUGCCCUAUACAGGAGGAUAACCCGUCGAAAGACGGACUAAUACUGCGUAUGCUCACAACUUGGCAUCCAGUGGUGAGGAAAGAAAUUCGGUAUAGGAUAGGCAUGCGUCCCAUUAGCUUGUUGGUGAGGUAACGGCUCACCAAGGCAACGAUGGGUAGGGGAACUGAGAGGUUUAUCCCCCAGACGGGUACUGAGACACGGACCAGACUCCUACGGGGGGCAGCAGUGAGGAAUAUUGGGCAAUGGGCGCGAGCCUGAACCAGCCAAGUCGCGUGAAGGAUGACUGUCUUAGGGAUUGUAAACUUCUUUUAUACGGGAAUAACAAGAGUCACGGGUGACUCCCUGCAUGUACCGUAUGAAUAAGCAUCGGCUAACUCCGUG
This 487-nucleotide ribosomal RNA is filed under the name uncultured bacterium. RNAcentral's name for it is "partial 16S ribosomal RNA". It matches the Rfam family "Bacterial small subunit ribosomal RNA", at positions 28 to 507 of the family's 1533-position model. The record is from RNAcentral.